Molecule: unclassified non-coding RNA, 398 nt
Filed under: Phragmipedium longifolium
Lineage: Eukaryota; Viridiplantae; Streptophyta; Magnoliopsida; Asparagales; Orchidaceae
Description: partial contains external transcribed spacer and 18S ribosomal RNA
Rfam family: Eukaryotic small subunit ribosomal RNA (bases 340-398)
Source: RNAcentral
UUUGUGCGAUGAAUCCCGAUAGGGAAAAUGCUUGUUGAAUUUGGUUAGAGAUGCCCAUUGUGUUGCGCUGUACUGUGGCGCAUCAUGGGGUUUUCGAGCUUCCUCCCCUCUCCCCGCAUGUAUAUCCCAGGCUUCGGUUAUCCAUUGCUGUGGUUGGCUGGGGGGGCGGCUUGUUCCUUGCCCUCGAUUGUGCAGUCCAUGCAAACAUAGAAUGUCGGUGCCGUUUGGCCCUCGUCUGGGUGUUCUCAGUUGGAAGCUACUAUGAUAUGCAUUCUAGGCUAGCCAUGACCUCAUUUGCUGUGUCGUGGUUGAGCUUGGAGCUUGCAUGUAGAGGAGUGCUACCUGGUUGAUCCUGCCAGUAGUCAUAUGCUUGUCUCAAAGAUUAAGCCAUGCAUGUG